This 71-nucleotide transfer RNA is filed under the name Hydroporus gyllenhalii. RNAcentral's name for it is "tRNA-Val". Lineage: Eukaryota; Metazoa; Arthropoda; Insecta; Coleoptera; Dytiscidae. The record is from RNAcentral.
CAAAUUAGAGCUUGAAUAGGAAAGCAUUUUAUUUACAUUAAAAAAUUGUUGGGCGGAUCAAUAUAAUUUGA